UAGACCUUCCUUCCGAACCUACUUCCUGU
RNAcentral lists this non-coding RNA (29 nucleotides) under Mus musculus (house mouse). The record is from RNAcentral. Lineage: Eukaryota; Metazoa; Chordata; Mammalia; Rodentia; Muridae.